AAAAAACUUGCUUUCCCUCUCUAUUGUCUCGCUUUAGGAACUCAUUGGAGGCGCUCUGGUCAUACAUGAAAUUACUGGGGUAUUAAGAUCUCAUGCUUCGACAGACGAUAUUGUUGGGGCAUGAAGCCUGCGGGCAUCUCAACCAUUAUUUUGCUUCCAUCCGAAACGCCUUCUCUACGUAGAAAACAAUAAAAGUAAAGUGUCUCGAAAAGGACAAGGUUGUCAGGAUGGACCAAAACUCGACUUACUUGGCAUUAGGAUGGCUUUUCUUGACUUUCGUCAAAUCCUUCGGAGAGCGGAACACAACGGUGCCCACAUUCUCCCGGGCAGCCACUUUCAAAUGCGAAGCCACCAACAUGGAAUUCUCCAGGAUGAUGUCCUCACCGGGGAUCCCGGCCUUGACCACCUUGGCAAUUUCGUCCUUGUUCUUGCAAACGAAAGAGCAACCUCGACCCUGGAACAUCUGGAGCACAAGCUCCUGACCAUUUUGAAAGACAUC
Molecule: long non-coding RNA, 499 nt
Organism: Tigriopus californicus
Lineage: Eukaryota; Metazoa; Arthropoda; Copepoda; Harpacticoida; Harpacticidae
Exons: 2
Source: RefSeq, a predicted model, not a curated record